AUGCUUAUGCUACUUGUAUCACUAGUGUUUCCUCUUGUUUUUUUAGGGUGGUCCCUCUUGUUUUUUAGGGUGCAACAACUGAUGGUUAUUUGUCCGAAACAAAAGUUAGUGAGUAACGUUGCUUAUUUGAUAGAACAAAAAUGUCAGAAACAAAUCACAUUAAUGUUUAUGUGCUAUGUGCUAUGCUUUGCAGCUGCUGACCUCUUCCUAUGGAGGAACAAGAAGAUCUUUGUCGGGGUGCUCACGGGCGCCACCGCCAUUUGGCUACUAUUUGAGGAGAAGAAGGAGCACACCCAGGAGAAGGAGCAAGCCCAGGAGAAAAAGAGCGAGCAGGAGAAGAAGGCACUGGAUUGCUGCUGUUGGAGUGUUGAGGACCUGGGAUCUGUGACGGCCCUGCACCGGCUCCCGCCCGCGGAUGUCGUGCGGGCGGCCUGCGCCUGCCGCCUCUUGAGCACCGUCGCCUCCGACCGCGCCGUGCUGGAGGCCACCUUCCACGCGCCCUCGGGCAUGCGCCACGUCCUCAGCGACCCGGCCACCAGGGCCUUCUGGCACGCUGCCUCCCUCGCCCAAUUUGCGCUCUCGCGUGCCCUCCGUCGUGGGGUCACCGUCCCGGGCAUCGCGCUCAAGUAUUUUGUCCAGUUGGGUGUACAGGAGCUAUAG
Molecule: ribosomal RNA, 660 nt
Filed under: Triticum aestivum (bread wheat)
Lineage: Eukaryota; Viridiplantae; Streptophyta; Magnoliopsida; Poales; Poaceae
Description: partial small subunit ribosomal RNA
Source: RNAcentral